UGCCAGCCGCCGCGGUAAUACAGAGGGUGCGAGCGUUAAUCGGAUUUACUGGGCGUAAAGGGCGCGUAGGCGGUCGUAUGAGUGUGAUGUGAAAGCCCCGGGCUUAACCUGGGAAGUGCAUCGCAAACGAUACGACUGGAGUACAUGAGAGGGUGGCGGAAUUUCCAGUGUAGCGGUGAAAUGCGUAGAUAUUGGAAGGAACGUCGAUGGCGAAGGCAGCCACCUGGCAUGAUACUGACGCUGAGGCGCGAAAGCGUGGGGAGCGAACAGGAUUAGAUA
Molecule: ribosomal RNA, 279 nt
Filed under: uncultured bacterium
Lineage: Bacteria
Description: partial 16S ribosomal RNA
Rfam family: Bacterial small subunit ribosomal RNA
Source: RNAcentral